UAACAAGAAAUUUAGGUUAACACUUUAAACUAAGGGCCUUCAAAGCCCUAAACAGGGAACCCAACUCCCUAAUUUCU
This 77-nucleotide transfer RNA is filed under the name Dierogekko insularis. RNAcentral's name for it is "tRNA-Trp". Lineage: Eukaryota; Metazoa; Chordata; Lepidosauria; Squamata; Diplodactylidae. The record is from RNAcentral.